Molecule: long non-coding RNA, 781 nt
Organism: Aquila chrysaetos chrysaetos
Lineage: Eukaryota; Metazoa; Chordata; Aves; Accipitriformes; Accipitridae
Exons: 5
Source: RefSeq, a predicted model, not a curated record
GCUGGGAGCUGUAGUCCUGGGGCACGGGGCUGCCGGGCGGCCAUGUUGGUCUCUGCAGUCUCCGCUCCAGCUGCGGCCCGGCUGAGUACAAGGAUGCAUGUAUGAAGGCAAAUCGAGGGUACAAGUGGUGCCCCACAGCAAACCAACCUGCGAAACCCCAGACAUCCACUGUUACAAACAGGAAGAAGCUAUGGGCCUUUGCUUCGGACUCUGCAAAGGAUUUACCAAGCCCGAGGAAAGGGACAAGAAGUGACAAAAUGCCACAGCGUAACUUCAGGAUGGCAGAUCGGACACAAAUGGGAGGCCUGAGUAUGCUGCUUUUAGCAGGGGAACGUGCCCUGACUGCACAAGAGAUCUCCUCAAGCACAUCGCAGCCUGGAGUCCUGGGAGCUGUGAAACCAAGCGAGGAGUCUGCAUUGUUUCAGUUUGCUGAGUGUGCCUCUAGGAACUGGUUUUCCACACCUAUACUCUUCUUGCCCAUUUGGGGGGUCUGGUACUGCUUACAGAACCAGUUAGGCUAAAUGGAUCUUCAGGGUGUGUCUGAGAAGACUGGGAGUGGAGCUGGUGCUAGCAUGGAGGAGUAUAACGGGGUGAGAAGGUAACCAUAUGUCCUUCCAUGUACUUGCAGAGGUUUGACUACAGAGAAGAUGCUUCUUUCUGUUAAAUGUUAAGGGAAUUGUGUACUGUGUGUUUUCAGCUUGGCUAGGAUGGGCCUUGAUGUAUUUGUUGGGAGGUUCAGUGAAGAAAAAACUGAUUUACUGAUUCAGGUGCCAUAAAAUAC